Molecule: long non-coding RNA, 1549 nt
Filed under: Homo sapiens (human)
Lineage: Eukaryota; Metazoa; Chordata; Mammalia; Primates; Hominidae
Description: HSALNT0094660
Source: RNAcentral
UUAACUCUUGAUUGGAAAAUAUGAUAGAGUUGCCAGAUAAAAUAUAUUUAGGAUAUUUUCACAUUAAAAUGUUAUUUAUUAUUUUUCUGAAAUUCAAAUUUUACUCGUCCUCUUGUAUUUUUAUAUUCUAUUUGUUUGCUAAAUCUGGAAACCUAAAAAGUGGACUCUUUUUUCUUUAACCACACAAACUAGGACUGUGACCAAAGAGAGAUACUGAAACCAGAACGUUCUUCUGCAAUUGAUAUUCACAACUAACUGACUAAACAUUCUGGUCGAGGAUGAGCAGUGAUUUGGUAUCUAGUACAGAUGUGUAUGGUGUGAUGCCAACCAGCCCCUGGCCAGUCUCUGUGAGCCUAGAAGCAUACAUACUUAAGGGAGUGCAGGUCUUGCCCUGCGACCUGCAGCAGCACACUCCGCCUCCCCCACCUCUUUCCCCUCCCUCUGGUCCUCCUUUCUCCAUCUGUCCCUUAGGGCUUAGGAGCUGAGCCCAAGGCUUCUGUAGGUUAUCACCAUCCCUGGGCUGCCUUCUUCCUCCUGAGAGGGGGCAGGGCAGGAUGAGAAAUGACCUCCAUUUAGCUAAAUUCAGGAGUGAGAUGACAUCCAUGUCACUAUCUUUUGCUUUUUAUGGAAAAAAUAUCUCUUUAGGCAAAUUUCUUACAUAGUUGCUUAAUCUUGUCUAAAAUGUGCUUUAUUUAAGAGUUUCACUCUCAGAGGAGGAUUUUGUUCUUCAAUUGUGGAGUGAUCUCUAUCACCAGUGACUAAAGCAGAUGUUGGAGCACAGAGAGCCAUACCCCAAAAUAUGAUGCUUCGGCAUGCUGACUGCUUUGAAAAUUGAAAGGCCUCAGAAAUAAUCCUCAGUGCCAGGGUCUCCCUCUGACCUCCCCCUACCUCCCUUUCUCUCUGAUCCUGUCUCUCCCAAAGCACAGAAUGAAGCUGUUCUCUGAAUUCCCUUAUCUACCUAGAAACUGGACCCCCAAAGAGGAACACAAUUUGCCUUUGAUCCCUUCCCUGAAAUUUCAUUAACCAGAGAAAAUUAAAACUUCUAUCACAAAGGAAGAGACUGAACAUUAAACACCAUAGCUACAGCCCAGACAAACUUCUUCCCAAACCAUUGUUUGUUCUCCUGCCUGUUAAAUUGCCAGAGAAUCAUUCACAAGAUAAAGUCUGCCUUCUGGGUCCAUUCAUUCCCCACUAAAAAUCUUUUACUCCUACACCCUCAUGUCUCCUUCCUCCAUGAAGAAGGGUCUAUAAACCUCUAGGCCUCAUUGGGUUAUUGGGUAAUCAUUCUCAUGCAGUUCCCCUGUGCUCUGCAUGUUAAAUAAAUUUGUAUGCCUUUUUCUCCUACCUGCCUUUUGUCAUUUUCAGUGAACCUUCAGAAGGUAAAGGCAGAAGCUUUCCUUCUUUGCCCCUAUAGUGUCAACAACAGCCAGCCAGGCAAAGGGUUUCAGAAACCCAAGUGGGAUUAAGAUGAUUAGCCACAUGGCUCUAUUCUACAAACUAGUGGUCAGAAUAACAAGCGUUUGCUUAUUAGGAGGUCGAGGUGGGAGAA